UGAACGCUGGCGGCGUGCCUAAUACAUGCAAGUCGAGCGAACAGACGAGGAGCUUGCUCCUCUGACGUUAGCGGCGGACGGGUGAGUAACACGUGGAUAACCUACCCAUAAGACUGGGAUAACUUCGGGAAACCGGAGCUAAUACCGGAUAAUAUAUUGAACCGCAUGGUUCAAUAGUGAAAGACGGUUUUGCUGUCACUUAUAGAUGGAUCCGCGCCGCAUUAGCUAGUUGGUAAGGUAACGGCUUACCAAGGCGACGAUGCGUAGCCGACCUGAGAGGGUGAUCGGCCACACUGGAACUGAGACACGGUCCAGACUCCUACGGGAGGCAGCAGUAGGGAAUCUUCCGCAAUGGGCGAAAGCCUGACGGAGCAACGCCGCGUGAGUGAUGAAGGUCUUCGGAUCGUAAAACUCUGUUAUUAGGGAAGAACAAAUGUGUAAGUAACUAUGCACGUCUUGACGGUACCUAAUCAGAAAGCCACGGCUAACUACGUG
This 495-nucleotide ribosomal RNA is filed under the name uncultured bacterium. RNAcentral describes it as "partial 16S ribosomal RNA". It matches the Rfam family "Bacterial small subunit ribosomal RNA", at positions 30 to 507 of the family's 1533-position model. The record is from RNAcentral.